This is a non-coding RNA of Mycena sp. CBHHK59/15, 94 nucleotides long. Lineage: Eukaryota; Fungi; Basidiomycota; Agaricomycetes; Agaricales; Mycenaceae. The record is from the annotation of a GenBank genome assembly.
CACCUGGUAGCAUAGUUGGUAAUGCACCUGCUGUUAGUACUGCUAUUCUCGAUAACUUGUACAGGAGACCCUCGUUCGAACCGGGGCCGGGUGA